RNAcentral lists this ribosomal RNA (476 nucleotides) under Phyllosticta catimbauensis. Its description in RNAcentral is "partial large subunit ribosomal RNA". It matches the Rfam family "Eukaryotic large subunit ribosomal RNA", at positions 113 to 593 of the family's 3401-position model. The record is from RNAcentral. Lineage: Eukaryota; Fungi; Ascomycota; Dothideomycetes; Botryosphaeriales; Phyllostictaceae.
AUUUGAAAGCUGGCGUCUUCGACGUCCGCGUUGUAAUUUGUAGAGGAUGCUUCGGCGAGGACUCCUGCCUAAGUUCCCUGGAAUGGGACGUCACAGAGGGUGAGAAUCCCGUACGUGGCGGGCGGUCCAAGCCAUGUGAAGCUCCUUCGACGAGUCGAGUUGUUUGGGAAUGCAGCUCUAAAUGGGAGGUAAAUUUCUUCUAAAGCUAAAUACCGGCCAGAGACCGAUAGCGCACAAGUAGAGUGAUCGAAAGAUGAAAAGCACUUUGGAAAGAGAGUUAAAAAGUACGUGAAAUUGUUGAAAGGGAAGCGCUUGCAACCAGACUCGUUCGCAGUUGCUCAGCCCGCCUCUUGGCGGGUGUACUCUUCUGCGGUCGGGCCAGCAUCAGUUCGGGCGGCUGGAUAAAGGUGUCGGGAAUGUAGCACCCUUCGGGGUGUGUUAUAGCCCGGCGCGGAAUGCAGCCAGCCUGGACUGAG